GACGAACGCAGGCGGCGUGCUUAACACAUGCAAGUCGAACGGUAAGGCCCUUCGGGGUACACGAGUGGCGAACGGGUGAGUAACACGUGGGUGAUCUGCCCUGCACUUCGGGAUAAGCCUGGGAAACUGGGUCUAAUACCGGAUAGGACCACUGCCUGCAUGGGUGGGGGUGGAAAGCUUGUGCGGUGUGGGAUGGGCCCGGGGCCUAUCAGCUUGUUGGUGGGGUGAGGGCCUACCAAGGCGACGACGGGUAGCCGGCCUGAGAGGGUGACCGGCCACACUGGGACUGAGAUACGGCCCAGACUCCUACGGGAGGCAGCAGUGGGGAAUAUUGCACAAUGGGCGCAAGCCUGAUGCAGCGACGCCGCGUGAGGGAUGACGGCCUUCGGGUUGUAAACCUCUUUCAGCACCGACGAAGCGCAAGUGACGGUAGGUGCAGAAGAAGGACCGGCCAACUACGUGCCAGCCGCCGCCGUAA
Molecule: ribosomal RNA, 478 nt
Filed under: uncultured bacterium
Lineage: Bacteria
Description: partial 16S ribosomal RNA
Rfam family: Bacterial small subunit ribosomal RNA
Source: RNAcentral